This 1427-nucleotide long non-coding RNA is filed under the name Pan troglodytes (chimpanzee). Its description in RNAcentral is "long non-coding RNA NONPTRT008859". Lineage: Eukaryota; Metazoa; Chordata; Mammalia; Primates; Hominidae. The record is from RNAcentral.
UGUGGGUGGGACCACCAUGGUUUUACACCCCACCCUACCUUAGGGAAGAAGAAAACAUUUUAAAGAAUACCAGAAGUAGAAUCACAUGUAACAGUCUCUGCCCAGUCAUCAGUUUAUUGUUAAGCUUUCCUUUGUAAUUUCAGGGCUUAAGCACUAUUAUCCUAAUCCAAGUUCACAGUCCUGUUGUUGUCGAGGAGGGUUCAAAAUCAUUUGGAGAUAAUCAAGCUCAGACAGCUUAGGAUAGGUGAGAAGAACAUAGAGGAAGCAGGGAGAAGGCUGAGAAGCAAGCAGGAGUGAGCGCUAAGUGUGUUGUUUCCAGUUAGCUGUUUGCUGUCUUUUCCAUUUAACCUGGGCACCGCCCUAGCCUCAUCUUCAGCCUUCAGUGAUCUAUAAUAGCAUUUCCUUCUGUCUCCUGUCAGUCUCUCUUCCGCCUUCCUUCCCUCCUUUACUGUAUUAGCAACAAGCUGUCCAUGGGUCGGGGCUGUGUGUUAGCCUGUACAUAGCACAUGGGACUUCGCACAUAGUAGAUAUUCAGUUACAUUUUGAACUAAUUAUAUAACAAACUUGCCCUUUGAAAGACUAAGUUAUAGUUAAAAACCAAGAUUUGUAGGAGAAAAAGAAAUUAUUGUUCCCUUCAGUUGGAAAAAUCAUCGAUAUUUGAAACUGGGAUACGCUUGGUAGCUUUUUUGUUUUAACACAAAGUAAACCUGUGAAGUAGAAUUUGGCGUUUUGUUUUUUGGUGUUUUUUUUUUUUUUUAGCUUAAUUUUCAGAACUUGAAGAGAGAGAACAACAACAAAAAACAAACUGCGCUAGCCAGGUGCAACGGCGCAUGCCUGUAGUCCCAGCUACUUGGGAGGCUGAGGCAGGCAGGAGUUCAAGGCUGCAGUGAGCUGUCUGUGCCACGGCACUCCAACCUGGGCAAAAGAGGAGACCUCAUCUAAAGAAGAAUCCACCAAAAACCCUGUGUUUUAAAGUGCAAACUGAUGAUGGAGGAAUGGUACCAUUUUCAUCCACUAGGUGGAAGCAAUUACAGUAUGACCUGCAUUAAAGACAUGUACAGUUUUUUGGCCGGCUGCAGUGGCUCACACCUGUGAUCUCAACACUUUGGGAAGCUGAGACGGGAGGAUUGCUUGAGCCCAGGAGUUUGAGACCAGCUUGGGCAACGUGAUGAAACCCUGUCUCUACAAAUAAAAAAAAAAAUUAGCCAGGCAUGGUGGCACAAGCCUGUGGUCCCAGCUACUCAGAAGGCUGAGGUGGGAGUAUUGAUCGAGCCCAGGAGGUCAAGGCUGCAGCAAGCUGUCGCACCACUGCACUCUAGCCUGGGCAACAGCAAGACCCUCGUCUCAAAAAAGAAAAAAAAAAGUACAAUUUUUGUAUUGAUUAUGUAUUCCUUAAGUAGGAGUGGAAUAAAAGUAUUUUACCGUGG